ACGCUGGCGGUAGGCCUAACACAUGCCAGUCGAACGGCAGCACAGUAAGAGCUUGCUCUUACGGGUGGCGAGUGGCGGACGGGUGAGGAAUACAUCGGAAUCUACUUUUUCGUGGGGGAUAACGUAGGGAAACUUACGCUAAUACCGCAUACGACCUACGGGUGAAAGCAGGGGAUCUUCGGACCUUGCGCGAUUGAAUGAGCCGAUGUCGGAUUAGCUAGUUGGCGGGGUAAAGGCCCACCAAGGCGACGAUCCGUAGCUGGUCUGAGAGGAUGAUCAGCCACACUGGAACUGAGACACGGUCCAGACUCCUACGGGAGGCAGCAGUGGGGAAUAUUGGACAAUGGGCGCAAGCCUGAUCCAGCCAUACCGCGUGGGUGAAGAAGGCCUUCGGGUUGUAAAGCCCUUUUGUUGGGAAAGAAAAGCAGCAGGUUAAUACCCCGCUGUUCUGACGGUACCCAAAGAAUAAGCACCGGCUAACUUCGUG
Molecule: ribosomal RNA, 487 nt
Filed under: uncultured bacterium
Lineage: Bacteria
Description: partial 16S ribosomal RNA
Rfam family: Bacterial small subunit ribosomal RNA
Source: RNAcentral